UGAAUAUAGUUUAUUAAAAAUUUUAGUCUGUGAAUCUAAAGAUGAGGAUUAAUCAUCCUCUAUUCAUCG
The sequence is a transfer RNA, 69 nucleotides long. It matches the Rfam family "tRNA". Rfam says of the family: Transfer RNA (tRNA) molecules are approximately 80 nucleotides in length. Their secondary structure includes four short double-helical elements and three loops (D, anti-codon, and T loops). Further hydrogen bonds mediate the characteristic L-shaped molecular structure. tRNAs have two regions of fundamental functional importance: the anti-codon, which is responsible for specific mRNA codon recognition, and the 3' end, to which the tRNAs corresponding amino acid is attached (by aminoacyl-tRNA synthetases). tRNAs cope with the degeneracy of the genetic code in two manners: having more than one tRNA (with a specific anti-codon) for a particular amino acid; and 'wobble' base-pairing, i.e. permitting non-standard base-pairing at the 3rd anti-codon position.